ACCCGUGUCUAUCGUACCUUGUUGCUUCGGCGGGCCCGCCGUUUCGACGGCCGCCGGGGAGGCCUCGCGCCCCCGGGCCCGCGCCCGCCGAAGACCCCAACAUGAACGCUGUUCUGAAAGUAUGCAGUCUGAGUUGAUUAUCAUAAUCAGUUAAAACUUUCAACAACGGAUCUCUUGGUUCCGGCAUCGAUGAAGAACGCAGCGAAAUGCGAUAAGUAAUGUGAAUUGCAGAAUUCAGUGAAUCAUCGAGUCUUUGAACGCACAUUGCGCCCCCUGGUAUUCCGGGGGGCAUGCCUGUCCGAGCGUCAUUGCUGCCCUCAAGCACGGCUUGUGUGUUGGGCCCCGUCCCCUCCCCCGGGGACGGGCCCGAAAGGCAGCGGCGGCACCGCGUCCGGUCCUCGAGCGUAUGGGGCUUUGUCACCCGCUCUGUAGGCCCGGCCGGCGCCAGCCGACACCCAACUUUAUUUUCUAAGGUUGACCUCGGAUCAGGUAGGGAUACCCGCUGAACUUAAGCAAUC
Molecule: ribosomal RNA, 518 nt
Filed under: Aspergillus lentulus
Lineage: Eukaryota; Fungi; Ascomycota; Eurotiomycetes; Eurotiales; Aspergillaceae
Description: eukaryotic LSU rRNA
Rfam family: 5.8S ribosomal RNA (bases 155-308)
Source: RNAcentral